Myotis davidii is the source of this 503-nucleotide long non-coding RNA. RefSeq lists it as uncharacterized. NCBI's taxonomy places the organism in Eukaryota, Metazoa, Chordata, Mammalia, Chiroptera, Vespertilionidae. The record is from RefSeq and is a predicted model, not a curated record. The transcript has 2 exons.
GAGCAACAAGUCUGUUAAACGCCGAGUCUGAAUUUUAUCCUAUUGCUGCAGGAUACAUUGAGCAAGGUAUUUGAAGUUAAAAAGCACCACGUCCACUGACAAGACCACCCGGAUACACGUGCUCACAGACCCACCAAGGACCAUCUGCACCCGAAGCCACGACAACGUGCUGAAUGGGAUCUGUGCUGAGGGCAACCUGGUGGCGGCCGCCUCUGGGGGCCUGUCGCUGGAAGUCUGGAGGCUCCAGGCCUGAGCAGGCAGACAUGGAUAUGGAUGUGGAUCUGCUGGCCGGCAGGCUGGGUCAAGGCCUCUGUUCUCGGGGGUGGGGGGACUCCCCUUUUCUGGUGAUGCCCCAGGCUCAGGCUUGGGGCACAAGGACUCGAGGCCACUGUUGGGCAAGUCCCUGGUCUGUGCUCCAUGUUCCAGCCCACCCUCAGGUGCUGUUUAUGAUUGGACGCCUGCUUUCCCUUGAGAGCAAAGGGGAAAUAAACCUAAUGUACUGG